RNAcentral lists this long non-coding RNA (814 nucleotides) under Panax ginseng (ginseng). RNAcentral's name for it is "long non-coding RNA (PGIN_LNC011514)". The record is from RNAcentral. Lineage: Eukaryota; Viridiplantae; Streptophyta; Magnoliopsida; Apiales; Araliaceae.
UCCAAACCACCAAAAAAACCAUCAUUCCAUACCCAAAAAUCAUCAUAACCAUGUAUAAUUAAUUAACUUUACAAAAGACGGAACACAAAAAUACAAAUGGGCAGAAAAUAGAGAAACAACAUGUUGCAUAAGAAACAACCUAUUUUGAUAUUCAAAUUAGCUUCCUUUAAAGGGCAUAGAGAAGUACAGAAGUGCCAAAUUUGCAAACACCCUUGCUUUAUUUUUGUGUAUAUAGUAAUGAAGUCUUGCCUAUAAUUUUCCAUCAUACUCUACGCUUAUUUCUAAAGUUUCAAGCUUCAGUGGGCACCCAAAACACUAAGCGUCACUAUUUGGGCUCAUAAUACAGUUUUUGAAAUCAUAAGCAGAAAAUGGUCUGCGAACCAAAUCCAUUCACUCAUUUACAAAUUAGUCAAAAAGCCACAAAUGUCAUGGAUAACAUCCUAAAAAAGGAAAAUCUGAGGAUUCAGCUAUCAAUUGUGAAAUCUAGCUAGUUGUAUGACAAUUUGAGUUACAUUUGCAAAUAAUCUCAAACCCCGAGUAAUGAAAACACAAAAUUUAACUUUCAAUUUCAAUUUCUUCUCAUUCCCAGCUUAGUCGAAUACCAACGAAACUUAAUAGAAACACUAACUUCUAAUCAUAAGUUUAUAAGAACCAACUUCUGAUCACAAGUGUUUGAUAUUAACAGACCUAACUAAAUCUAAAAAUUUGAAACUAGAUAUUAGAAAAACCAUCCUAAAUCACAAAAGUACACACAGCUAUUGUAAUUUAAUCAAAAUCUCUAACAAUACCAGUUUAAAAACUGCCCAUAUGAAAU